UCCGGUUUGUCACCGGCAGUCUCCCUAGAGUGCCCUUGCGUAGCAACUAGGGACAAGGGUUGCGCUCGUUGCGGGACUUAACCAAACACCUCACGGCACGAGCUGACGACAGCCAUGCAACAAGUGUCUUCAGGUCUCCUUGUGGGAGAGGGCCAUAUUUCUAUGGAUUUCCUUCGAUGUCAAGCCUGGGUAAGGUUCUUCGGUUAGUAUCGAAUUAAUCCACAUGCUCCACCGCUUGUGCGGGUCCCCGUCAAUUCAUUUGAGUUUCAACCUUGCGGCCGUAGUCCCCAGGCGGGAUACUUAGUGCGUUAGCUGCGGCACAAGAGGGGUCGAUACCUCUUACGCCUAGUAUCCAUCGUUUAGGGCGUGGACUAC
RNAcentral lists this unclassified non-coding RNA (375 nucleotides) under uncultured Armatimonadota bacterium. Its description in RNAcentral is "uncultured Armatimonadetes bacterium contains 16S-23S intergenic spacer region". The record is from RNAcentral. Lineage: Bacteria; Bacillati; Armatimonadota.